CUGCUUACCUGGCCAAUUGUUUGAUUAUCUCUUAUGAAGAGCUCAAGUUGCAAACACUAAGACCUGAUUAACCAAUAUUAAGUCAAUAGGUCUUCAACUGUAGUAGAGCUGCUAAGGUCUUUCUGAUGUUGAUUUGUCUCGGCUGGAUACAGUGGGCAAGUUGCAUCGGGGGGCUGGACCUCUCUAUAGACAUGAGAUGUUGUAGGGUAAAGGUGGGGUUGGGCACCAAUAACUGUUAGGUGAGGACCCAAUGACGACUUUAUUUCUACGGUUAUACGGUGGGUCUGACUUAACUAAGAAAUGAGACCAAUAACUGUUAGGUGAGGUCUUCAUGGCUUAGAGACCAAGUUGCACUGCAACAUGCUUGAGAAGCAUUGUACAAGAGUUAUACACUCAUCCAUCUAUGUGUCAUCAAUAACUGUUAGGUGAGGUGCCAUGUAGAUUGGUGAGACCGCAGUACCUACUAGAAAUCCUAAUCG
RNAcentral lists this long non-coding RNA (479 nucleotides) under Phoenix dactylifera (date palm). RNAcentral's name for it is "long non-coding RNA (PDAC_LNC009620)". The record is from RNAcentral. Lineage: Eukaryota; Viridiplantae; Streptophyta; Magnoliopsida; Arecales; Arecaceae.